This 512-nucleotide ribosomal RNA is filed under the name uncultured bacterium. Its description in RNAcentral is "bacterial SSU rRNA". It matches the Rfam family "Bacterial small subunit ribosomal RNA", at positions 34 to 518 of the family's 1533-position model. The record is from RNAcentral.
CGCUGGCGGCGUGCCUAAUACAUGCAAGUCGAACGGCUUUUCUAUGGAAGCUUGCUUCCACUGAGAAGAUAGUGGCGAACGGGUGAGUAACACGUGGGUAACCUGCCCAUAAGAGGGGGGAUAACAUCCGGAAACGGGUGCUAAUACCGCAUAGUUUUCUUGAUCGCAUGAUUGGGAAAGGAAAGACGGCCUUUGCGCUGUCGCUUAUGGAUGGACCCGCGGCGUAUUAGUUAGUUGGUGAGGUAACGGCUCACCAAGACGAUGAUACGUAGCCGACCUGAGAGGGUGAUCGGCCACAUUGGGACUGAGACACGGCCCAAACUCCUACGGGAGGCAGCAGUAGGGAAUCUUCCGCAAUGGACGAAAGUCUGACGGAGCAACGCCGCGUGAGUGAAGAAGGUUUUCGGAAUCGUAAAACUCUGUUGUCAGAGAAGAACAAGUUGGAGAGUAACUGCUCCAGCCUUGACGGUAUCUGACCAGAAAGCCACGGCUAACUACGUGCCAGCAGCAGC